GACGAACGCUGGCGGCGUGCUUAACACAUGCAAGUCGAACGGAAAGGCCCUGCUUUUGUGGGGUGCUCGAGUGGCGAACGGGUGAGUAACACGUGAGUAACCUGCCCUGUACUUUGUGAUAACUUCAGGAAACUGGGGCUAAUACCGGAUAGGAGCUCCUGCUGCAUGGUGGGGGUUGGAAAGUUUCGGCGGUUGGGGAUCGACUCGCGGCUUAUCAGCUUGUUGGUGGGGUAGUGGCUUACCAAGGCUUUGACGGGUAGCCGGCCUGAGAGGGUGACCGGGCACAUUGGGACUGAGAUACGGACCAGACUGCUACGGGAGGCAGCAGUGGGGAAUAUUGCACAAUGGGGGGAAGCCUGAUGCAGCAACGCCGCGUGCGGGAUGAAGGCCUUCGGGUUGUAAACCGCUUUAGCCUGUGACGAAGCGUGAGUGACGGUAAUAGGUAAAGAAGCACCGGCUAACUACGUG
This 468-nucleotide ribosomal RNA is filed under the name uncultured bacterium. RNAcentral describes it as "partial 16S ribosomal RNA". It matches the Rfam family "Bacterial small subunit ribosomal RNA", at positions 28 to 507 of the family's 1533-position model. The record is from RNAcentral.